Molecule: signal recognition particle RNA, 300 nt
Filed under: Oncorhynchus mykiss (rainbow trout)
Lineage: Eukaryota; Metazoa; Chordata; Actinopteri; Salmoniformes; Salmonidae
Description: Metazoan signal recognition particle RNA (ENSOMYG00000073981.1)
Rfam family: Metazoan signal recognition particle RNA
About the family: The signal recognition particle (SRP) is a universally conserved ribonucleoprotein. It is involved in the co-translational targeting of proteins to membranes. The eukaryotic SRP consists of a 300-nucleotide 7S RNA and six proteins: SRPs 72, 68, 54, 19, 14, and 9.
Source: RNAcentral
GCCGGGUGCGGUGGCAUGUGCCUGUAAUCCAAGUCACUGGGAGGCUGAGGUUGGUGGAUCAAGUGCGCUGAGGAGCUCUGGGCUGCAGCACGCUAUGUCGAACGGGUGUCCACGCUAAGUUCUGUAUCGAUAUGGUGUUCCUGGGGGAGCCCGGGACCACCAGGUUGUCUAAGGAGGGGUGAACCGGCCCAGGUCGGAAACGAAGCUAGGUCAAAUCCCCCGUGCUGUCCAGUACUGGGAUAAUACCUGUGAGUAGAUGCUGCAGUGCAGCCUUGGCAAAACAUUGAGACCUAAACUUUU